This 1359-nucleotide long non-coding RNA is filed under the name Mytilus galloprovincialis (Mediterranean mussel). The record is from RNAcentral. Lineage: Eukaryota; Metazoa; Mollusca; Bivalvia; Mytilida; Mytilidae.
UUACAAAGAAAACAGUUUAACAAGUUGAACACGUGCUUUAUUUUGACUUACGCAAUCAGCAUCCCCUUUUUUAAGAAGUACAAAAUAAGACGCAAAACAGUAAAUAUUAUUUCAUUGCAAAUAACUCGAGUACUGCUGUAACGAUAAUUUAGAAUUACUUUAAAAGUUUAAAAGUAAAAACUUAAAUAUUUCCUGUAGAGAAAUAUCGUAUCGUAAUUCCGAAUUCAUUUCGUAUAUUACAAUCAAAUUGAUACAUCCGCGUUUCCGGUUUCUAUUCAGACUCGAAAGAUGCAUGUUGCACAGCAUCAAUUUGUCAGAUAAAGUCAUAAAAAACCUUUUCUUUUGUCAAUGUUUGCUUUACAAAUCUCUCUAACCUUUUACAUAACCCGUACGAAUCGUUUUGUUGUUGCUGCAAAUCAGCCAUACCGGUAAUGGGUUCUGCAUUUGACAGUGUCCAUGAAAAAUAAGCUCCACAUCAUAUGAUUUUUAACCCCAUAACAAUUACCAAAAAUACAAGAAAUGUACAUGGGGACCUUCAUGACAGCUUUUGGUCAUUCUCGACUAAGGGGGACCAUGAAGACUUGGCAUUUGAAUGGUUAAAAACGGCAAUAAAUGAAAAUAUUGAUACUUCUAAUUCUAUAAUGAAAAUUCAAAUAAAUAUAAUUUAAAUAAGCAAUGAUUUAGCAUGUUCACCAUUCCUUGUAUGGAAGGAUAAAAUAAUUCCGAUCGCGCUACAAUGUACAGCGUAGACACGGUUUGUAAUGGUGAAAGUUCCUCAAUCGUUCAAUUUUCAUCCAUGGAGAUCCCUGAAUUUACAAAAGUUGAGUUAUCUUUCUUUCUUUAAAAAAUCUUAUACAAAUAUAUUCUGGGUGUGGGAAUUUCUUGCUGCAUUGAAGACCCAUUGGUGGCUUUCAGCUGUUAUCUACUCUUUGGUUGGGUUGUUGUCUCUUUGACACAGUCCCCAUUUCCAUCUUAAUUCUAUUGUUCUGUCUUGAGUCAAAAUUAUUAUUUUUUACUUUACAAAUGUUAGGUAUAAAGAUUUCUGUGUAAAGCAGAUUCACUAGGGGGUUAGUUAUUGUAUUUUGUGGAUUUUUCUCUGAAGUGCAUCGCUAUUUCUUCAUCCCGUUAGCUUUUUUCAAAUUCAGUAUAUUUUCUUAUAUCACCAACCAUUUUGUCAUAGCAACUCCUUAAAUUAAUUAUAGUAUUUACAUGAAAUUUGGUAAAGGGUUGUGAAUACUUGUACGGGAUAUAAGUUCAUUGAAGUUUUCCAGAUGUGAAAAGUAUUAGUUCUAACUAGCCAUUUAUUCUAUUUUUGAGGCAGGAAUUUUCUAAAUUUGUUUUGCUUACAAGAUUUUGGAA